Molecule: ribosomal RNA, 253 nt
Filed under: uncultured bacterium
Lineage: Bacteria
Description: partial 16S ribosomal RNA
Rfam family: Bacterial small subunit ribosomal RNA
Source: RNAcentral
UACGGUGGGAGCAAGCGUUGUUCGGAUUUACUGGGCGUAAAGGGCGCGUAGGCGGUAGCACAAGUCAGUUGUGAAAUCUCCGGGCUUAACUCGGAAAGGUCAACUGAUACUGUGCGACUAGAGUGCAGAAGGGGCAACUGGAAUUCUCGGUGUAGCGGUGAAAUGCGUAGAUAUCGAGAGGAACACCUGCGGCGAAGGCGGCUUCCUGGACCGACAAUGACGCUGAGGCGCGAAAGCUAGGGGAGCAAACGGG